AAUAAAAAAUAAUAAAAUAAAAAAAGAAUAAAAAUAAAUAAAACUAAAAUAAUAAAUGAUGGGUUAAAAACCAAAAAGGUGAUUUAGGCAAAAGGAGAGCUAGAGAAGAUUCAAGUGGAAAACCUGAAAGGGUCAUUUGAUAGGUUAUGAAUUUUAUCUAACUUGUAAAAGUUAAUUAGUAAAGUUGUAAUAUGAUAAAAG
RNAcentral lists this unclassified non-coding RNA (201 nucleotides) under Hevea brasiliensis (rubber tree). The record is from RNAcentral. Lineage: Eukaryota; Viridiplantae; Streptophyta; Magnoliopsida; Malpighiales; Euphorbiaceae.